RNAcentral lists this transfer RNA (72 nucleotides) under Camelus bactrianus (Bactrian camel). It matches the Rfam family "tRNA". Rfam says of the family: Transfer RNA (tRNA) molecules are approximately 80 nucleotides in length. Their secondary structure includes four short double-helical elements and three loops (D, anti-codon, and T loops). Further hydrogen bonds mediate the characteristic L-shaped molecular structure. tRNAs have two regions of fundamental functional importance: the anti-codon, which is responsible for specific mRNA codon recognition, and the 3' end, to which the tRNAs corresponding amino acid is attached (by aminoacyl-tRNA synthetases). tRNAs cope with the degeneracy of the genetic code in two manners: having more than one tRNA (with a specific anti-codon) for a particular amino acid; and 'wobble' base-pairing, i.e. permitting non-standard base-pairing at the 3rd anti-codon position. The record is from Rfam by way of RNAcentral. Lineage: Eukaryota; Metazoa; Chordata; Mammalia; Artiodactyla; Camelidae. RNAcentral also lists the same sequence under 2 other names.
GUGGUUAUAGCUCAGUGGUAGAGUGCGUGCUUAGCAGGCAUGAGUUCCUGGGUUCAAUCCCCAGUACUUCCA